RNAcentral lists this ribosomal RNA (490 nucleotides) under uncultured bacterium. Its description in RNAcentral is "partial 16S ribosomal RNA". It matches the Rfam family "Bacterial small subunit ribosomal RNA", at positions 30 to 507 of the family's 1533-position model. The record is from RNAcentral.
AUUGAACGCUGGCGGCAGGCCUAACACAUGCAAGUCGAAUGGUAACAGGAAACAGCUUGCUGUUUCGCUGACGAGUGGCGGACGGGUGAGUAAUGUCUGGGAAACUGCCUGAUGGAGGGGGAUAACUACUGGAAACGGUAGCUAAUACCGCAUAACGUCGCAAGACCAAAGAGGGGGACCUUCGGGCCUCUUGCCAUCAGAUGUGCCCAGAUGGGAUUAGCUAGUAGGUGGGGUAACGGCUCACCUAGGCGACGAUCCCUAGCUGGUCUGAGAGGAUGACCAGCCACACUGGAACUGACACACGGUCCAGACUCCUACGGGAGGCAGCAGUGGGGAAUAUUGCACAAUGGGCGCAAGCCUGAUGCAGCCAUGCCGCGUGUAUGAAGAAGGCCUUCGGGUUGUAAAGUACUUUCAGCGGGGGGGAAGGGAGUAAAGUUAAUACCUUUGCUCAUUGACGUUACCCGCAGAAGAAGCACCGGCUAACUCCGUG